Molecule: ribosomal RNA, 238 nt
Filed under: uncultured bacterium
Lineage: Bacteria
Description: partial 16S ribosomal RNA
Rfam family: Bacterial small subunit ribosomal RNA
Source: RNAcentral
CGGCACGGGUGAGUAACACGUAUCCAACCUGCCGUCUACUCUUGGCCAGCCUUCUGAAAGGAAGAUUAAUCCAGGAUGGCAUCAUGAGUUCACAUGUCCGCAUGAUUAAAGGUAUUUUCCGGUAGACGAUGGGGAUGCGUUCCAUUAGAUAGUAGGCGGGGUAACGGCCCACCUAGCCAACGAUGGAUAGGGGUUCUGAGAGGAAGGUCCCCCACAUUGGAACUGAGACACGGUCCAA